This is a long non-coding RNA of Salvia miltiorrhiza (redroot sage), 668 nucleotides long. RefSeq lists it as uncharacterized. The transcript is spliced from 2 exons. Lineage: Eukaryota; Viridiplantae; Streptophyta; Magnoliopsida; Lamiales; Lamiaceae. The record is from RefSeq and is a predicted model, not a curated record.
GGUUGGAUUAAAUGAAGCUGAUAGGAUCUGAAAUAGAGUUAUAUGACGUUCCUCUUAAUAAAUGCAGGAGGAAUACAUGGUAGAGCUAGAGAGAGUUAAAGCAUGGCUUACCCUUGAACUUGGCAGAGUAAUGAAUGAAGGGAAUAAGGUGGAAGAAAUGUAGCCGAAGUUUACCUUGAAGUGGCAGAGCACUGGAUGAAGGUCCCUGCUUCUCCAAAAGCUUCUAAGUGUAAAAAUGAGGAGAGUGGUGAAUUGGGACUGAAGUGUUCUCCAAAAGCUUCUAAGUGUAAAAAUGAGGAGAGUGGUGAAUUGGGACUGAAGUGUGAGACUAAAGGAGAAGCUCUUGCUACACACUUGAGUGUGCUAGUAUAAGCUGCAGAGAUAGGGUGGCUGAGUAUGGGGUGGAUUGGAUGGGGGCAGACAUAGGGAAGGUGGCUGAAUGACUGCACACUUGAUGUGCUAGCCAAAAAGGUGCAAAAAUAGGGUGGCUGGAGUAGGAGGAAGGAGUGCAGUGGUGAGGCAGCCCACGUUUCCUUUUAUUUUCUUCCCUUUGUUUACUUGCUAGAUUAUGGUGUAAUUAGGAAUAUAGAAUGGGAGUUGAUUGUGAGUAAAAGUUGUAAGGUAUGAGAAUGAGAUUGUGGUGAAUAAAUGAAGUAUAUUCCUAUGUC